UAAACAAUAUAACUAACUUUGAUGAGAUGA
Molecule: non-coding RNA, 30 nt
Filed under: Mus musculus (house mouse)
Lineage: Eukaryota; Metazoa; Chordata; Mammalia; Rodentia; Muridae
Source: RNAcentral